Molecule: long non-coding RNA, 378 nt
Filed under: Lathyrus oleraceus (garden pea)
Lineage: Eukaryota; Viridiplantae; Streptophyta; Magnoliopsida; Fabales; Fabaceae
Description: Pisum sativum (pea) long non-coding RNA (PSAT_LNC038832)
Source: RNAcentral
AUACAUUGAAACAAACCCUAGGCCAAUUAUUUUUCUACACAUGCAAAAAAUCCACAAAAAUAACCAUUAAAUUCUACACAUCACAAGGAGAAUGGCACAAAAAAUUGCAUCAAAUUUGGAUCAAAAACGAGUGAGAUAUGGAUUUUUGAUCAUGGUGAAAAAAUAAAAAAAAAAGUGUGGAAUUAAGGCAUGUGCACAUGAAAGCAUAUGGAAAUUAAAUAGGCAAGGCAAAAGGGAACCGCUGUACAGCGGGACCGAACCGAGGCAGCGCGCGCUACUGUUCAUAACAGCAUCCACACGGCCAAACACAAAUUUCAUGAACAGUGACGCGCAAAUGGAUCUAAAUCAAGUCUUUUGGAAAAAAAUUGAAUGUUCUUC